UAUUGCUUUGAUAGCUUUGAGUAAUAAUUACAAAAAACAAAGUAGGAAGAGUUUGUUUUGUAACUUCUGACCAAAGAAGAGAAAGAAGGAUUGAAGAAGGAAGGAAAGAGAGUGAAGACGGGAUUGAGCAACAAAGUGCGAGUCUUUGUUCCGAGGACCAGGGCUUUGAAAUGUAAUUUUACUUUCUGAGGACCAAAGCCAUUGUGCAGGCACACGGCUUGGACACUGAACCCUGACACUCCCUGCCACCCACCCGGGUUACCGUGCACAGUGUAGACUCCAGGUUGCCGGUACCGCACUGCUCCUUGUUUCCGCCGGCAGGCCUCAUGGUUCCCGGGGUCUCUUGCCUAAGCAAAUAGAUGAAUUGUUACAGGAACGUCCCAGCACUCCUAGGUUGCUAAGUCAUGAUCCCUGCCCACGAAGAACCAGCCCAAUGCCCAAACGGAAAGAACCACCGAAGCCAAACGUCCGCCUCCCCACGACUUCCAUCCCUGCCUUCCUGCUCCGAGGUACCGGCUCCGCUCUGUGGAGGUCCGUCCUCCUUGCCACGGCACGAGUAGGCUCGGCUUACCCUUGUGGACUGGCCGCGACGGUGAUACCCGGGCGGCCAGUGCUCCACUGUCUGUUGUACCUCUUUGUUUUGUGAUGUUUGGGUUUUCCACUGCCGCCGUAUAAUCUUUUCUCCAGAAAGCCUCAUUGGAGCCACGCAGGGCUCUGUCUGCGUUUUCUGUGACCUGAGGCAACUCGGUGUGGAGCAGGGACAACACGUGCAGGACAGUAAAUCACCCUAAAUCAGGCUGACUGAGCAGAAGCGGCAGCUUGGAAGCAGAGCCAUCACGGACAAAGGCUCUCCCCUUGACCAGACCUCAGCCAGGCCCUCCCAGCCCUCUGCAGCCGGCGUCCCCGCCUCGUCAGUUUUAACAAGGGCCAGAAUAGUGUCUUCUGUAACACCGCAAAGAGCCCACGAGGAGCCAUCACCCGACUCCCGUGGAGAAGCCCAGACGUCCCGCACGUUGCGGGCUAAGGGAUGGAUGCAUCUCCUCUGAAGUAGGGUGAAUGUGGCUAAUACCUGGAGAGCACAGGGCGAGGCCCCCACUGAGCGUGAUCUUUACUCCCAUCCCGGGGGUCGGCAGGAGUCAGCAGCGUGCGGCUGGGUGGCAACAAAGGCCGUUCCCGGGCAUUUCCAUCAGUUGAGAAAAGUUAGUUACACGACACGACAGAAACUCUACUGCGUGAACUCUAAAUCCAACUAGUGGAAGGCAAGGGGGAAAGGCAUACGAAAAAACCUUUUCUUGUCUUGAGAGAAAAAUACGGAAACACAGAUUAUUGCUUUUAAGUGGGUUUGAGAGAUAACCUGGCGUAAUUCCCUCAUCCUCCUUUAGCUGAGGCCCAGGGAGCAAGUUGAGUAGCCGACGGUGGUGUCCGGGCUAGAGCAACAUCCGGCCUCAAAUCCUGUUAUCUUUCUACCACACUCACUACCUCCCUAUUAGUUUUUCUAGACAAUUUCUUAUGAAUUAUUCUCUCAAGAAUGAAGAAGACUGAGUUGCUUAAAGAUAAGGCCUAAUCCUUACAGUUGUUUACAUGAACUCCGAUGCCUGGCACCGUGCGGAGCUCGUAAAUCAUCUCCGCAAAGGUUCAGGAAAUUGAUUUUCCGUCCUGCCAGCCACCUGCACGUGCACGGACUCUGAUAGAUCCAGGGUAGGUGGCAAGGCCCACGGCAGGGGGUAUUAGUGAAUUAUGGUUGCCUGUUUCUGACCGUGUCACUCAUCCCUUUAAAAAGAAAGAAAAAUGGAAUGAGAUUCACGAUGAGGUGACUCUGUACAAUAUUCUUGUCAUUCAGGACACACGAAAUCAAAGGGAAAGAGAAACUAAAGCGCACAGGGUACAGGUUGCUGUUCCAGAAUUCUCCGAGUUCUCUGCCCGACGAAUGCAGCUUCUGAGGAGAGGAGAGGAAAAAAAAAAAAAAAAAAAAAAGGAGAGGAGAGGACGGGCGCCCCCAGGCCUCAGCGGCCAAGGAGAACGGGCCGAUCAGCUCCCCGCUCUUGAAAACCCGAACUAGGGGAGAAGCCAUCUGCCAACUGCUUGUGAGUGCAAGGAGCAGCGAGAGGGCACACUGGGAAACACGAGCAAGGGGCGCGGGUGGGGGUAGGGCCAAACCACACGCAAGCCGCAGCGGGAGGAGCCGAACGACAGCCAAGCAGAGGACGCGGGGUCAGCAGAGAGGAGGAUGGACGGGAGCCCAGAGAGCAGCGACGUGGCACCGCGGCCACCGCCCUGCACCUGGUGUGGAAAGCAGGUGCAGCUUGUUUAGCAGGUUGCCUUCAUUUUAAUGGAUCUUCAGGGAACUUUCCAUUUCGCCCAACACACCUUCACAACAGUUCCUCGCUUUACUUGGACUAGCUCAAGUCAUAUUAUUAUUAUUAUUAUUAUUAUUAUUAUUUUUGCAACAAACAAAUCUAGGUGAGACAAGGGCUAAGGACACACUCCGUUAGGCCUUUCAAGGCACUGUCUUUUUUAACCCUCUUAACACACUUGCAAGUUGGGUACAAUUACCCCCAACUUAGAAUAUGAAGACAAAGCUAAAUUAGGAAAUUUGUUGAUUUGUUGAGAUUCACCUAGCUACUGUGAGUCCCAGAGCUGAAAAUCAAGCCCAAGACUGCCUGGCCAAAGAUUUUUUUUUUUUUUUUUUUUUUUUUUACCACUUUUCUUUUUAAAAAUAAGACAGAAAACAAAAUAAGUCUUAAAA
Long non-coding RNA from Canis lupus familiaris (dog), 2746 nucleotides. RefSeq lists it as uncharacterized. NCBI's taxonomy places the organism in Eukaryota, Metazoa, Chordata, Mammalia, Carnivora, Canidae. The record is from RefSeq and is a predicted model, not a curated record. The transcript has 3 exons.